GUGGGGAAUAUUGGACAAUGGGCGCAAGCCUGAUCCAGCCAUGCCGCGUGAGUGAUGAAGGCCCUAGGGUUGUAAAGCUCUUUCACCGGAGAAGAUAAUGACGGUAACCGGAGAAGAAGCCCCGGCUAACUUCGUGCCAGCAGCCGCGGUAAUACGAAGGGGGCUAGCGUUGUUCGGAAUUACUGGGCGUAAAGCGCACGUAGGCGGACAUUUAAGUCAGGGGUGAAAUCCCGGGGCUCAACCCCGGAACUGCCUUUGAUACUGGGUGUCUGGAGUAUGGAAGAGGUAAGUGGAAUUCCGAGUGUAGAGGUGAAAUUCGUAGAUAUUCGGAGGAACACCAGUGGCGAAGGCGGCUUACUGGUCCAUUACUGACGCUGAGGUGCGAAAGCGUGGGGAGCAAACAGGAUUAGAAACCCGUGUAGUCC
Molecule: ribosomal RNA, 425 nt
Filed under: uncultured bacterium
Lineage: Bacteria
Description: partial 16S ribosomal RNA
Rfam family: Bacterial small subunit ribosomal RNA
Source: RNAcentral